This 443-nucleotide ribosomal RNA is filed under the name uncultured bacterium. RNAcentral describes it as "bacterial SSU rRNA". It matches the Rfam family "Bacterial small subunit ribosomal RNA", at positions 28 to 490 of the family's 1533-position model. The record is from RNAcentral.
GAUGAACGCUGGCGGCGCGCCUAACACAUGCAAGUCGAACGGCACCCACCCUCGGGUGGAAGCGAGUGGCGAACGGCUGAGUAACACGUGGAGAACCCGCCCCCUCCUCCGGGAUAGCCUCGGGAAACCGUGGGUAAUACCGGAUGACCCCGCAGGGCCGCAUGGCCCCGCGGGCAAAGCCCAGACGGGAGGGGAUGGCUCCGCGGCCCAUCAGGUAGACGGCGGGGUGACGGCCCACCGUGCCGACGACGGGUAGCCGGGUUGAGAGACCGACCGGCCAGAUUGGGACUGAGACACGGCCCAGACUCCUACGGGAGGCAGCAGUGGGGAAUCUUGCGCAAUGGGGGGAACCCUGACGCAGCGACGCCGCGUGCGGGACGAAGGCCCUCGGGUCGUAAACCGCUUUCAGCAGGGAUGAGACAAGACGGUACCUGCAGAAGAAG